UAAGACGAACCGUGCGAACGUUAUUCGGAAUCACUGGGCUUAAAGCGCGUGUAGGCGGAUGGGAACGUCGGCCACUGAAAGCCCCCGGCUCAACCGGGGAAGCGGUGCCGGGACGGCCCGUCUGGAGGGGCGUAGGGGGACCUGGAACUUCCGGUGGAGCGGUGAAAUGCGUUGAGAUCGGAAGGAACGCCCGUGGCGAAAGCGAGGUCCUGGACGUCAUCUGACGCUGAGACGCGAAAGCCAGGGGAGCGAACGGGAUUAGAUACCCCGGUAGUCCUGGCCGUAAACGAUGGGCACUGGGUAGGGGGCUCGCCGAUGGGCUCCCUGCCGCAGGGAAACCGUGAAGUGCCCCGCCUGGGGAGUAUGGUCGCAAGGCUG
This 378-nucleotide ribosomal RNA is filed under the name uncultured bacterium. Its description in RNAcentral is "bacterial SSU rRNA". It matches the Rfam family "Bacterial small subunit ribosomal RNA", at positions 521 to 896 of the family's 1533-position model. The record is from RNAcentral.